GAAAUCGGUAGACGCUACGGACUUAAAAUCGUGAGGGU
This 38-nucleotide transfer RNA is filed under the name Pyrostria verdcourtii. RNAcentral describes it as "Neoleroya verdcourtii partial transfer RNA-Leu (UAA)". Lineage: Eukaryota; Viridiplantae; Streptophyta; Magnoliopsida; Gentianales; Rubiaceae. The record is from RNAcentral.